GGCUUUAGGGCUAGCGUCGAUGUUAAGUCUCUUGGAGGUAGAGCACUGUUUGAUUGAGGGGUCCAUCCCGGAUUACCAAUAUCAGAUAAACUCCGAAUGCCAAUGAGAUAUAAUCGGCAGUCAGACUGCGAGUGCUAAGAUCCGUAGUCGAAAGGGAAACAGCCCAGACCACCAGCUAAGGUCCCAAAAUAUAUGUUAAGUGGAAAAGGAUGUGGGGUUGCACAGACAACUAGGAUGUUAGCUUAGAAGCAGCUAUUCAUUCAAAGAGUGCGUAAUAGCUCACUAGUCGAGUGACCCUGCGCCGAAAAUGUACCGGGGCUAAAACAUAUUACCGAAGCUGUGGAUACCUUUAUAGGUAUGGUAGGAGAGCGUUCUAUGUGUGAAGAAGGUGUACCGUGAGGAGCGCUGGAACGCAUAGAAGUGAGAAUGCCGGUAUGAGUAGCGAAAGACAGGUGAGAAUCCUGUCCACCGUAUGACUAAGGUUUCCAGGGGAAGGCUCGUCCUCCCUGGGUUAGUCGGGACCUAAGGAGAGACCGAAAGGUGUAUCCGAUGGACAACAGGUUGAUAUUCCUGUACUAGAGUAUAUAGUGAUGGAGGGACGCAGUAGGCUAACUAAAGCGUGCGAUUGGAAGUGCACGUCUAAGCAGUGAGGUGUGAUAUGAGUCAAAUGCUUAUAUCUUUAACAUUGAGCUGUGAUGGGGAGCGAAGUUAAGUAGCGAAGUUAGUGAUGUCACACUGCCAAGAAAAGCUUCUAGCGUUAAUUAUACUCUACCCGUACCGCAAACCGACACAGGUAGUCGAGGCGAGUAGCCUCAGGUGAGCGAGAGAACUCUCGUUAAGGAACUCGGCAAAAUGGCCCCGUAACUUCGGGAGAAGGGGCGCUGGCUUUAAGUCAGCCGCAGUGAAUAGGCCCAAGCAACUGUUUAUCAAAAACACAGCUCUCUGCUAAAUCGUAAGAUGAUGUAUAGGGGGUGACGCCUGCCCGGUGCUGGAAGGUUAAGAGGAGCGCUUAGCAUUAGCGAAGGUGUGAAUUGAAGCCCCAGUAAACGGCGGCCGUAACUAUAACGGUCCUAAGGUAGCGAAAUUCCUUGUCGGGUAAGUUCCGACCCGCACGAAAGGCGUAAUGAUUUGGGCACUGUCUCAACGAGAGACUCGGUGAAAUUUUAGUACCUGUGAAGAUGCAGGUUACCCGCGACAGGACGGAAAGACCCCAUGGAGCUUUACUGCAGUUUGAUAUUGAGUAUCUGUACCACAUGUACAGGAUAGGUAGGAGCCUAUGAAAUCGGGACGCUAGUUUCGGUGGAGGCGUUGUUGGGAUACUACCCUUGUGUUAUGGCUACUCUAACCUAGAUAGGUUAUCCCUAUCGGAGACAGUGUCUGACGGGCAGUUUGACUGGGGCGGUCGCCUCCUAAAAGGUAACGGAGGCGCCCAAAGGUUCCCUCAGAAUGGUUGGAAAUCAUUCGCAGAGUGUAAAGGUAUAAGGGAGCUUGACUGCGAGAGCUACAACUCGAGCAGGGACGAAAGUCGGGCUUAGUGAUCCGGUG
Molecule: ribosomal RNA, 1545 nt
Filed under: Streptococcus infantarius subsp. infantarius
Lineage: Bacteria; Bacillati; Bacillota; Bacilli; Lactobacillales; Streptococcaceae
Description: partial 23S ribosomal RNA
Rfam family: Bacterial large subunit ribosomal RNA
Source: RNAcentral